CUUCAAGCUCGUGGAACAUAACAAUUUAGCUUCAAUAAUGCUUCAAUUUAGCUUCAAGCUAUAAGAGAUUGAAUCAAAAUAUUAAAAGAUGGAAUCAAUACCUAAAAAUAACAAAUAAGAGUUGUCGUCGGCGUCGGAGCGAGCUACGUCGGCGGCAAGAUACGACGGCGUUGGAACAAGCUACGUCGGCGUCAGAUAGCAGAGUCGGAGCGAACAGUUUGUGAAUCCAUUGAGCUGAGAGAGAGCGACGUUGGAGUGAGAGAGAGCGGCGUUGCAGUGAGAGAGAGCGGCGUUGGAGCUGAGAGAGAGUUCAAUCUGAGAUGGGGAGAUUAUUUCAGUUUCUUAUGGUACUUGCAACUAUACAAGUCACAAGACGAAUAAGCAUUUGCACUGUCU
RNAcentral lists this long non-coding RNA (396 nucleotides) under Trifolium pratense (red clover). RNAcentral's name for it is "long non-coding RNA (TPRA_LNC008143)". The record is from RNAcentral. Lineage: Eukaryota; Viridiplantae; Streptophyta; Magnoliopsida; Fabales; Fabaceae.